CAUCAUCAUUCUCAUCUUCAUCAUCAUCAUCAUUACUGCUACUGUCCUCAUCCAUCCAACAGUCUUCAUCUCCAUUUUCAUCUGACUCACAGCCCAGACUAUCAGAAUUUAUUCCACCGACUAUCCAGUCAUCAUUUUCUAUAUGAGUGUCGUCUCCCUCACUUACCACUACUUCUAGCAAAAGAGAAGUCACCAUAGCAGAAGACACAGGAGAAGUCACCACAGGACUUGGAAUAAUUGGACAACUA
Molecule: long non-coding RNA, 248 nt
Filed under: Elaeis guineensis (African oil palm)
Lineage: Eukaryota; Viridiplantae; Streptophyta; Magnoliopsida; Arecales; Arecaceae
Description: long non-coding RNA (EGUI_LNC005765)
Source: RNAcentral